RNAcentral lists this ribosomal RNA (500 nucleotides) under uncultured bacterium. RNAcentral's name for it is "bacterial SSU rRNA". It matches the Rfam family "Bacterial small subunit ribosomal RNA", at positions 8 to 518 of the family's 1533-position model. The record is from RNAcentral.
AGAGUUUGAUUAUGGCUCAGAACGAACGCUGGUGGCGUGUCUUAUACAUGCAAGUCGAGCGAGGCAGCAAUGCCGAGCGGCGAACGGGUGAGUAACGCGUAAGCAAUCUGCCCCAUAUCAGGAAAUACCCGUGCCAACGCGCGGUUAAUGUCCAGGAGAGUGGCCCUCCGCAUGGAGGGUUGACUAGAGAUUUAUCGGUAUGGGAUGAGCUUGCGUCCGAUUAGCUAGUUGGCGGGGCAACGGCCCACCAAGGCGACGAUCGGUAGCCGGCCUGAGAGGGUGAUCGGCCACAUUGGGACUGAGAUACGGCCCAGACUCCUACGGGAGGCAGCAGUAGGGAAUAUUGCACAAUGGGGGAAACCCUGAUGCAGCAACGCCAACCGUGUGGGAAGAAGCAUUUCGGUGUGUAAACCACUGUCAUGAGGGAAUAAGGCCCGCCUUCGGACGGGAUUGAAUGUACCUUGAAAGGAAGCACCGGCAAACUUCGUGCCAGCCGCGGC